RNAcentral lists this long non-coding RNA (234 nucleotides) under Homo sapiens (human). RNAcentral's name for it is "HSALNT0020072". Lineage: Eukaryota; Metazoa; Chordata; Mammalia; Primates; Hominidae. The record is from RNAcentral.
GCGACCUCCCUGGGAACCUCUCCUAUCUACCUUCAGUCCCUAUGCAUCCGCUUCCUCCCAAUUCCUCUUGCCCUCACUCAUCAUAAGCAUAUGAGGAGGCUUUGGGAGGACAGUCUUAGUUGGAACAAGGAUUUUCAGGCUGUAGAGACCAGAGAAUGCUUGUCCUGGGAUGUGUGAGAGAUGGUUCCCAGAGAGACGCCUGGAAAUCAGAGACAAGGGUCAGCGAUGUUGGCA